RNAcentral lists this ribosomal RNA (793 nucleotides) under uncultured archaeon. Its description in RNAcentral is "bacterial SSU rRNA". It matches the Rfam family "Archaeal small subunit ribosomal RNA", at positions 85 to 879 of the family's 1478-position model. The record is from RNAcentral.
ACUGCUCAGUAACACGUGGAUAACCUGCCCUUGGGUUCGGGAUAACCCCGGGAAACUGGGACUAAUACCGGAUAGAUCAAAGAUACUGGAAUGUUCUCUGGUCCAAAACUCCGGUGCCCAAGGAUGGGUCUGCGGCCUAUCAGGUUGUAGUGGGUGUAACGUACCUACUAGCCUACGACGGGUAAGGGUUGUGAGAGCAAGAUCCCUGAGAUGGAUUCUGAGACAUGAAUCCAGGCCCUACGGGGUGCAGCAGGCGCGAAACCUUUACACUGCGGGAAACCGCGAUAAGGGGACCCCGAGUGCCAGCACCUAGUGCUGGCUGUCCAGCUGUCCAAAUAACAGUUGUUAGCAAGGGCCGGGCAAGACCGGUGCCAGCCGCCGCGGUAACACCGGCGGCCCGAGUGGUAGCCGCUAUUAUUGGGUUUAAAGGGCCCGUAGCCGGCCUAUUAAGUCUCUUGGGAAAUCUGGCGGCUUAAUCGUCAGGCGUCCAAGAGAUACUGGUAGGCUUGGGACCGGGAGAGGUGGGAGGUACUCCAGGGGUAGGGGUGAAAUCUCGUAAUCCUUGGGGGACCACCGAUGGCGAAGGCAUCCCACCAGAACGGGUCCGACGGUGAGGGACGAAAGCUGGGGGCACGAACCGGAUUAGAUACCCGGGUAGUCCCAGCUGUAAACGAUGCUCGCUAGGUGUCAGGUGCGGUGCGACCGCAUCUGGUGCCGCAGUGAAAACUUGAAGCGAGUCACCUGGGAAGUACGGUCGCAAGGCUGAAACUUAAAGGAAUUGGCGGGGGAGCAC